AUGGCCAACGCUCAUGUCAACAUGAACUUCAACGCGUUCCUAGAGAAAACCAAGCUGAAAGAUGAUGGCAGCAACUAUACGGACUGGGUCCGGAACCUGAGGAUCAUCCUCAUAGCUGCCAGGAAACAAUAUGUCCUAGAAGGACCGCUAGGUGACGCUCCCGUCCCAGAGAACCAAGACAUUAUGAAUGCUUGGCAAACUCGCGCUGAUGAUUACUCCCUCGUUCAGUGCGGCAUACUUUACAGCUUAGAACCGGGGCUCCAAAAGCGUUUUGAGCAUCACGGAGCAUAUGAGAUGUUCGAAGAGCUGAAACUAGUUUUCCAAGCUCAUGCCCGGGUCGAGAGAUAUGAUGUCCCCGACAAGUUCUAUAGUUGUAAGAUGGAGGAAAACAGUUCUGUCAGUGAGCACAUCCUGAAGAAGUCUGGGUUGCACAACCGUAUGACCCAGCUGAACAUUAACCUCCCAGAUGAGGCGGUCAUUGACAGAAUCCUCUAG
This 495-nucleotide ribosomal RNA is filed under the name Triticum aestivum (bread wheat). RNAcentral describes it as "partial small subunit ribosomal RNA". The record is from RNAcentral. Lineage: Eukaryota; Viridiplantae; Streptophyta; Magnoliopsida; Poales; Poaceae.